Molecule: non-coding RNA, 135 nt
Organism: Hordeum vulgare subsp. vulgare (domesticated barley)
Lineage: Eukaryota; Viridiplantae; Streptophyta; Magnoliopsida; Poales; Poaceae
Source: Rfam
UUUGUACUCCAUCCGCCCAUAAUUUUUGUCUUAGAUUUGUCUAGAUAUAAAUGUAUCUAGUCACAUUUUGGUAUUUAGAUACAUCAACUUCUAGAAAAAUAUAGGACAAGAAUUUUGGGACGGAGGGAGUAUGUU